RNAcentral lists this ribosomal RNA (457 nucleotides) under Azotobacter chroococcum. RNAcentral's name for it is "bacterial SSU rRNA". It matches the Rfam family "Bacterial small subunit ribosomal RNA", at positions 72 to 525 of the family's 1533-position model. Lineage: Bacteria; Pseudomonadati; Pseudomonadota; Gammaproteobacteria; Pseudomonadales; Pseudomonadaceae. The record is from RNAcentral.
GGGGGUGCUUGCACCCCGAUUCAGCGGCGGACGGGUGAGUAAUGCCUAGGAAUCUGCCCGAUAGUGGGGGACAACGUUUCGAAAGGAACGCUAAUACCGCAUACGUCCUACGGGAGAAAGUGGGGGCUCUUCGGACCUCACGCUAUCGGAUGAGCCUAGGUCGGAUUAGCUAGUUGGUGGGGUAAAGGCUCACCAAGGCGACGAUCCGUAACUGGUCUGAGAGGAUGAUCAGUCACACUGGAACUGAGACACGGUCCAGACUCCUACGGGAGGCAGCAGUGGGGAAUAUUGGACAAUGGGCGAAAGCCUGAUCCAGCCAUGCCGCGUGUGUGAAGAAGGUCUUCGGAUUGUAAAGCACUUUAAGUCGGGAGGAAGGGCUGCAGGUUAAUACCUUGCAGCCUUGACGUUACCGACAGAAUAAGCACCGGCUAACUUCGUGCCAGCAGCCGCGGUAAUA